CCUAACCACUUUUCAAAGGCCACAUUUCCUAGUAUCAUGACUUCGGGAAAGAGAACAAACCUGUUUUCUGAGGACCUACCCAUGUACUUUUCAAGGAUUUUCUCACUUAACUCUGCUCAUCUGCUCAGUUGUUGUUGACCCUCUCACUUCUAGCCAAGUGCCUCUCUGUCCACGGUGUCCCCAGGAACCAGCAAUUUUCUCCUGAAAUUCACAGCCCUGAGAAGCUGGCCAGCCCAGAAUGAAAGACAUGAGAUGAUAUCCAAGCUACAGCUGCAGUGUAGUGCAAUUCUGAAGCAUCUAGAGUGUUCUAGGAGUCUGGCACACCAGGAUAUGGACUGCAUUAAAAUCUCUGCCCCCAGGUAGAUCAGCCUAAUAAUGGAUAUAAGGUACAUAGUCCCCAUUCUCCAAAUCCUUAAUUGUGAUUUUUUAAAAAUGUCAUUUUAUGGACAUGCUCUUGACCAUUCAAUCCUAUCCCCAUUGCCUUCUGACAUAACCAUGUUAGACUCCUUACAUGCAUAAACACACACACACACACACACACACACACACAGAUACACAUCUUUUACCUCCAGUUCUUUUCAGGUGCUACCCAUGCCCACUGCCUGACCUCCUUCCCUUCUGCACUCACCAAGUGAACUUAUCUUCAGGAUUGAAUUCAAGCAUCACCUCCCCCAAGUCUUCCUUAUACCACUCACAUGGAUGCAAUAAGUGCAGUGGGGAAGCACUUCCCUCUAUGGCUCACAUCUCACACUAAUCCCUACCUAAGGAGGGCUGGAUAGAAGAGACCUGCCCUCCUCAGGUGGGCCCCAUCUCCAUUCUUGGGUGAGGGAAGCACAUCGCCUCCCUUUUCCCCCCUCUUACCUCCCACCAGUCCUCACCAACUACCAGAGUCACAGCCAUCAUGAGCCAUUAUGAUAGGAAUGCAACUU
This is a long non-coding RNA of Canis lupus familiaris (dog), 929 nucleotides long. RefSeq lists it as uncharacterized. NCBI's taxonomy places the organism in Eukaryota, Metazoa, Chordata, Mammalia, Carnivora, Canidae. The record is from RefSeq and is a predicted model, not a curated record. The transcript has 3 exons.